Molecule: long non-coding RNA, 346 nt
Organism: Artibeus jamaicensis (Jamaican fruit-eating bat)
Lineage: Eukaryota; Metazoa; Chordata; Mammalia; Chiroptera; Phyllostomidae
Exons: 3
Source: RefSeq, a predicted model, not a curated record
GAAUGGUGUGGCCUUAUUAAUAUCAGCUGGGGAGAGUGCCCUGUUUUAACGAUUUCCAAUAAACCAAGGCAAGCCCGCAGAACUUCACGAGCAUUUGGGCACCGACAGUUAAAGAGACUGUACAGUGAACCUCUUCCAGUCAUAUCUGCAUCUCUAAUGGGGAGACAGCUCACCUGUUCUGAGGACAAUCAAGAGGGUCUGCCUGAUCCAGCUUCAGAACAGCAUUCUGCACAUGGUGUGCCAUUUGAAACAAGAGACCUGACAUGAUCAGUUGGGAGUCAGCCAGAGGCCCAUUGCCCUAGAAGAGUCAUGGCUACAGAGGAGGAGAUUAUAACUCACGAUCUUG